Molecule: transfer-messenger RNA, 372 nt
Filed under: Actinokineospora fastidiosa
Lineage: Bacteria; Bacillati; Actinomycetota; Actinomycetes; Pseudonocardiales; Pseudonocardiaceae
Rfam family: transfer-messenger RNA
About the family: Bacterial tmRNA, also known as 10Sa RNA or SsrA, is named for its dual tRNA and mRNA-like properties. Its role is to liberate the mRNA from a stalled ribosome.
Source: RNAcentral
GGGGGUGAACGGUUUCGACUCUGGACGUUGAGUCAAGGGAAGCGUGCAGGUGCAGGCGUACGACCACCUCAAGCGUCGAACGCAAAAAAAUAAGCGCCAAGACUAACAGUCGCGCUGACUACGAACUCGCUGCCUAAGCGAGUAUCGGGUCUGUCGGCCCAGGGGUGCCUCCGCCCUGGCUCGCCGGCAUCAGCUAGGAGGCUUACCGCCAGGCCCGGUCACGGGGCCUGAUCGGGAAACCCACAGUGACUGGGCCCGUCAUACCGACUAGUUCGCGUGAUCGGUAGGGCCAAGCAGAGACACAGCGAACUGCGCACGGAGAAGCCUUGUCAAGGCGACAGAGGACCCGGGUUCGAUUCCCGGCACCUCCAC